CUCCAAUAGCGUAUAUUAAAGUUGUUGCAGUUAAAAAGCUCGUAGUUGGAUUGUGGUGUGACUGCCGGUUCUGAUGGCUUUACUGUCGUUGGUUACUGUGCGGGUCUGCCUUUUUUGGGUGGAAGCUGUGUGGCAUUAGGUUGUCGUGCAGGGGAUGCCAUCGUUUACUGUGAAAAAAUUAGAGUGUUCAAAGCAGGCUU
RNAcentral lists this ribosomal RNA (200 nucleotides) under uncultured eukaryote. RNAcentral describes it as "partial 18S ribosomal RNA". It matches the Rfam family "Eukaryotic small subunit ribosomal RNA", at positions 589 to 787 of the family's 1831-position model. The record is from RNAcentral.